UCCCUGGUGGCUCAGAGGUUAAAGUGUCUGCCUCCAAUGCGGGAGACCUGGGUUCGAUCCCUGGCUCGGGAA
This 72-nucleotide transfer RNA is filed under the name Ovis aries (sheep). It matches the Rfam family "tRNA". From Rfam's summary of the family: Transfer RNA (tRNA) molecules are approximately 80 nucleotides in length. The record is from Rfam by way of RNAcentral. Lineage: Eukaryota; Metazoa; Chordata; Mammalia; Artiodactyla; Bovidae.